GAUGAACGCUGGCGGCGUGCCUAAUACAUGCAAGUCGAGCGAACGGACGAGAAGCUUGCUUCUCUGAUGUUAGCGGCGGACGGGUGAGUAACACGUGGAUAACCUACCUAUAAGACUGGGAUAACUUCGGGAAACCGGAUCUAAUACCGGAUAAUAUUUUGAACCGCAUGGUUCAAAAGUGAAAGACGGUCUUGCUGUCACUUAUAGAUGGAUCCGCGCUACAUUAGCUAGUUGGUAAGGUAACGGCUUACCAAGGCAACGAUGCAUAGCCGACCUGAGAGGGUGAUCGGCCACACUGGAACUGAGACACGGUCCAGACUCCUACGGGAGGCAGCAGUAGGGAAUCUUCCGCAAUGGGCGAAAGCCUGACGGAGCAACGCCGCGUGAGUGAUGAAGGUCUUCGGAUCGUAAAACUCUGUUAUUAGGGAAGAACAUAUGUGUAAGUAACUGUGCACAUCUUGACGGUACCUAAUCAGAAAGCCACGGCUAACUACGUG
This 497-nucleotide ribosomal RNA is filed under the name uncultured bacterium. RNAcentral's name for it is "partial 16S ribosomal RNA". It matches the Rfam family "Bacterial small subunit ribosomal RNA", at positions 28 to 507 of the family's 1533-position model. The record is from RNAcentral.